UACGUAGGGGGCAAGCGUUGUCCGGAAUCAUUGGGCGUAAAGAGCGUGUAGGCGGUUCGGUAAGUCGGCUGUGAAAGUCCAGGGCUCAACCCUGGAAUGCCGGUGGAUACUGUCGGGCUAGAGUUCGGAAGAGGCAAGUGGAAUUCCUGGUGUAGCGGUGGAAUGCGCAGAUAUCAGGAGGAACACCUAUAGCGAAGGCAGCUUGCUGGGACGACACUGACGCUGAGGCGCGAAAGCGUGGGGAGCGAACAGG
This 253-nucleotide ribosomal RNA is filed under the name uncultured bacterium. Its description in RNAcentral is "partial 16S ribosomal RNA". It matches the Rfam family "Bacterial small subunit ribosomal RNA", at positions 524 to 776 of the family's 1533-position model. The record is from RNAcentral.